This 424-nucleotide ribosomal RNA is filed under the name uncultured bacterium. RNAcentral's name for it is "bacterial SSU rRNA". It matches the Rfam family "Bacterial small subunit ribosomal RNA", at positions 356 to 773 of the family's 1533-position model. The record is from RNAcentral.
AGGGAAUCUUCCGCAAUGGACGAAAGUCUGACGGAGCAACGCCGCGUGAGUGAUGAAGGUUUUCGGAUCGUAAAGCUCUGUUGCCAGGGAAGAACGUCUUCUGGAGUAACUGCCAGGAGAGUGACGGUACCUGAGAAGAAAGCCCCGGCUAACUACGUGCCAGCAGCCGCGGUAAUACGUAGGGGGCAAGCGUUGUCCGGAAUUAUUGGGCGUAAAGCGCGCGCAGGCGGCUGUUUAAGUCUGGUGUUUAAUCCUGGGGCUCAACCCCGGGUCGCACUGGAAACUGGACGGCUUGAGUGCAGAAGAGGAGAGUGGAAUUCCACGUGUAGCGGUGAAAUGCGUAGAGAUGUGGAGGAACACCAGUGGCGAAGGCGACUCUCUGGGCUGUAACUGACGCUGAAGCACGAAAGCAUGGGUAGCAAAC